This 819-nucleotide ribosomal RNA is filed under the name uncultured eukaryote. Its description in RNAcentral is "SSU rRNA". It matches the Rfam family "Eukaryotic small subunit ribosomal RNA", at positions 629 to 1426 of the family's 1831-position model. The record is from RNAcentral.
CGGUGUUUAACUGGCGUGAUGUGGGACGUCCUACCGGUGGGCUUAGCCUCGCGAGGGGCGGCCCAACUAAUAUCCCGUCGCGGUGCUCUUUACUGAGUGUCGAGUCGGGCCGGUACGUUUACUUUGAACAAAUUAGAGUGUUUAAAGCAGGCUAUCCUCGCCUGAAUACUGCGUGCAUGGAAUAAUGGAAUAGGACCUCGGUUCUAUUUUGUUGGUUUUCGGAACCCCGAGGUAAUGAUUAAUAGGGACAGAUGGGGGCAUUCGUAUUGCGACGUUAGAGGUGAAAUUCUUGGAUCGUCGCAAGACGGACAGAAGCGAAAGCAUUUGCCAAAAAUGUUUUCAUUAAUCAAGAACGAAAGUUAGAGGUUCGAAGGCGAUCAGAUACCGCCCUAGUUCUAACCAUAAACGAUGCCAGCUAGCGAUCCGCCGAAGUUCCUCCGAUGACUCGGCGGGCAGCUUCCGGGAAACCAAAGCUUUUGGGUUCCGGGGGAAGUAUGGUUGCAAAGCUGAAACUUAAAGGAAUUGACGGAAGGGCACCACCAGGAGUGGAGCCUGCGGCUUAAUUUGACUCAACACGGGAAACCUCACCAGGCCCAGACACCGGAAGGAUUGACAGAUUGAUAGCUCUUUCUUGAUUCGGUGGGUGGUGGUGCAUGGCCGUUCUUAGUUGGUGGAGCGAUUUGUCUGGUUAAUUCCGAUAACGAACGAGACUCUAGCCUGCUAAAUAGGCGUACCUUAUGGUAUCGCGAAGGCCCCCGGCUUCGGCCGGUGGGUUUUUACUACCAACGUACAAACAAAUCUUCUUAGAGGGACAGGCGG